This is a long non-coding RNA of Gallus gallus (chicken), 12491 nucleotides long. RefSeq lists it as uncharacterized. The record is from RefSeq and is a predicted model, not a curated record. Lineage: Eukaryota; Metazoa; Chordata; Aves; Galliformes; Phasianidae. The transcript has 3 exons.
GGUCUCUUCACUAGCCCUCAUCUCCAGACUCACAAGCCCAACUAACCUCCAGUUUUUGUCUCUUAUCAGUCCUUUGGAAGUUCUACUAUGAUCUUUUGCUCAACAUGUCUAAGAUCACCUCUGUCUUCCUCCUCCAUAACUCCUUUUCUCAGGAGCAUAUGGAUGGCUGAUACUCCUGAUACUUGCCAACUGCUCCAAGCCACUUUCUUAUUUGAGGCUCCCACUCCCAGUUUUAUUUCAAAAUCAUAGGCUCUGCUUGCAGAAUUUCUCUUAAUCUGGCUUCUGCUCUUCCUUCUCAGCAGCUACAGUAACGUUCCUUUUGCUCUUGCACUCCCAGUCUUGUUGUGACUCUAUACACAUAGAAAUGGUGUUGCAAAAAAUAAUUUUUCCCAUGCUUGAUGUUGUUGCCCACUGUUUGUGUCUGCCAGGUUGCAGAGCCCCAAGGUGAGGCUGGGGCAUCGUGUUGCUGACUGCAAGGUUUGAGAAUUGUCUGGAAUUGAAAUAGAGCUCCUGAACAAGGGGCCAAAGCCAAAGGUAGAGAAUGGCAUUUUAGACCACAGUUUCAAGGUUACUCUUGGCCUAUCUCACUCCUGCGUUGCCUCUCACUGAGAAUUCAGAAACUUCUUUAUUUCAACUUUCAUGCUUUCAAAUGAUACUCUUUGCCUACGUGACCUUGCAUACUUGGGAUGCUCUCUCUCUGCACCAAGUCACAGCAUAUUCUCCUAAAAAUUCCUCCUUAAUAUUCUCUUGAAUUUGAUGAAUACAGAAGUGUUUGAUGGAUUUUGGGUUACCAACAUGCCAGCAUUACUGCGUGAUACUCUGACUGAUACUGAUUCAUUUUAUCUUAGUAUUCUCCAGACUAUCUACAUUUCUGUAUUAUCACUUGUCCUGCAUUACCAAGUCACUGGGCUAAAUCUCAGCAUUUUUCUGUCUUUUUUUUUUUUUUUUUUUUUUUUUUAUAGUAUUUAUCACUGUAGAGGCUUCCUCUGUGAUUACUGGUCUUAAACAUCAAAGGUAUAUAAAUAAAUAAUGCUUUGUUGCAAAUUCUAGCAAAGCAGCUCUUUGAAUGAAAGCUUGAAAUACAGGCAGGUCAUCAGUGAUCCAGCUCUGACUGUCAGCUUUCCCAUUUCAAACAGGUAAUGUUCAGACGUGGUUUAUAUGCCUGUGAUUCUUCAAAAUGACACAACUGUGGAGUUUUAUGCACCUCUUACUCCUACUUAUCUUCCAGUCUGAUAAUCAUGGUGCAGUAGCCAAAAACAUUGAUAGCACUUAGGAAGAAGAGCUGAGACUGAGUCAAGUGUCAAGUAAAUACACUGAAAGAAAUUCUAAUGUCUGCAAGUCACUGAAAAUCUCAUAAUUAAGUACAGUGAAGAUGAGAUUUCACUUACAGAGAUUCAAGCCAAAAACACUGUGAAAAAUUACAGUUGAGAAAGGAUGAAUUAGCCAAAGGUGUCACUGAAAAGGAGAUUACAUCAGCUGCCCUUCUGGAACUUAAUUAAAAAAACUACAUUUCCAAAUGCCUUGUACCAAGGAGUGCUUUGGAGCCAUUUGGAGGCUAGAGGCUGGAGUAGAGUAAUGGGGCAAAAUGUAUUUAAAAGUACCUGUGUUCAGUCAAAGUCCCAUUUUUCAAAAGCUCAAGUCCUUGGAUGCCUAUCUUACAUGGGCAUCUUGGGGAGUCAGAAGCAUGGGCACUUUCGGAAAACAUUGCCUGGUUCCUACUUAAAAAACUAACCCUUUGCUAGACAACUCUCAGUGGAAAACAAUCUUAAGGCACUUCGGAAAAGUUCUCCUUAAGUUUCUUUAUGGCCUAAAAAAGUGUCUGGGGAGGAAACAUUACAGAGAAUUACUGUGAGAAUUAUUUUGCACAGCUAUUCAGAGAUCUGGUCACAGAAAGGUAUACUUGAGAACUGCCAAAAGAACUCCAGUUCACCACCUGCACUGACCAGGUCUGCACAAUUUUUGUGCAGGGAAAGUUAAUCUGGAAGUCCAGUGUUGGUGUUCUUGGCUGUGAUUGGCUCACAGGUCCAUUGUUGGCUGCAUUAACCCACUGUAUUACUUCAUUGGUAAUUCUAUCUUGGUGUUAAUUCUGUCAGUUCACUUUAAAAUUCCUUGUGGUAUGAAAUCCAGGUGCAUGCUGUAGCAGAGCAGUGCAGUAAUGAGAGGUCUUUAAAGGUAAUUGCAUACUCUACUAUGUUCUGGAAUUACUGUCUUGGGGCUUCCCAAUCAUUCUACAGUCUUCAUAUGCAGUAUUUAUUAUAGUAUUUGGUUUAAGAUAAGACACUAAUAGGUUACAUAUGUUUGAUUAAGGAGCUGAUGAGAGUUCUAGGGGAAAAUCAGGUUUGAAGAUCUGGAGGAUUAUUAAUAUUUAAGGUCUUCAGAUACUCUCUUGCUGGCUCAUGAAAAUGUCAUUGAAACACAUUGUCUCACUCUGUUAUUCAUUUCCUUGAUAAGAAUUCAUCCCUGAAUAAAGGCUAGCUAGAAACUGAGAAAAGCCUGAAAUGAUCCCUCUUGUUUUAGAUUAAGACCCUGUAGACAAAUCUUCAAGAGUAAGCAACUGUGGAAAUCCUUGGUAAAAUGUAAAUCUCCUUGCCAAUGGCUGCUCUGGGCUCCCAGGCAGGCCAAGCUCCCUGGCACCAUCAGGCCCUGUGGGUUCUGGCCAUGGGGCAAGGGUCAUUAGCACUGCUGGGGAAGAGAGGACACCUGGGAGAGGUGAGCUGCUGCCAGGCAUGGAUAGAUAUCUGGCAGGGCAGGGGUUUUCAUGAGGUCUGCUCCAAACAUCACUUGAGAGCUUGUAGCACUGAGUUAACUUGCUUGACUAUUAUAUUAAAAGGCUUUUUAUGCUAUCUUUAUGAAAAUACUUGUUUCUUGCUACUGAACAUCAAAUACCUGCUACAGCCUCUUUCUUCUGCCUGGGCUUUCUGAGGGGAGCUUUUUUAACUCGCUGCUGCCCUAAUCCCUCAUUUUCCUUCUCCAUCAGCCUCAGAUUCCAGGCAGAGCUGAGGCACAGAGUAGCCAUCGUUUGUGUCCACAGGUACUAGGAAAUCAUUACACGAUUUCUGACUGCCUCAGCUCCUCGCCCUUGUUGUGCCUGGGGAAGAAAAUAUGGCAGAAAAAGUGAUGAAUGUGUGCAUGGCUUUGAACUGGAAAGCCAAAGGUAUCCUUGCAUUUGCUGCUGCUUUAAUUUAUCACUUCCCUGCACAGCAGCAAGUACAUUUCUAAAUAUUCACAGCUGGGCUACAGAUACACCUGGUAUGGAAGGUGUAACAUUUAUUCAAACAAGCCCCAGUUUCCACCCCCUCUUCACUACAAAUGUGCUCAUCAGUGAGCUCAGGUAGACUUGGGCCUGAAGCACUGACCAGAUAGAUACCCCAGCAGAAACUGAACCGUGUCCAACAACAGCUGGAUAUUUCUUAUUUGCAUCUGCUUUUUAACUUGUUUGCGGUUUGUUUUUGGCUCAGAUGAAUUAUUCCGACUUUCCUUUCUCUGGAGAAACAUCCAUUGACAGCAGUGACAUCUUGCUUGAAGGAAGAUGGUGCUGAACAGAAAUCACAGCUGCUGUGGGAAAUGGUAUGUUACCGUGCCCAGCUGCUGUUUGCAGCCAACGAGCUAUUUCUGAGCAGGUUUCUAGUUUUAGACCAACGGAAACCUGUGAUUAUCAAAGAAGUUGUGAGAACCUCGUGAAUGCCCCAUCCCUGGAAGUCUUUAAGAACCGGUUGGAUGGGGCCCUGGGAAACAUGAUCUAGUGGAAGGUGUCCUUACCCAUGGCAGAGAAACUAGGUUACCUUUAAAGUUUCCUUUGAACACAAAGCAUUCCAUGAUUCUAUGAAUUUAGCCAUUACUGGGAGCUGUGAAAAUUUCACCAAGGAUACAAAAUUGCCAUGAAAAGAUCUAUGUAUUUUCUAACUUCCAAAUACGAAGUUACUCCACAUGCAUUUAAUCACUGUGUAUUUCUGUGUGUACGUUGUGAGCCCUGGGAAAACGUCCAGCAACCGAAGGAAAAACCGAAGGUUAAAUGAGAUCAAGUAACAAUGCUUUGGCUUUGGACAUGGAACAUGAAGAAGAGUUCCCACAACUGAAGUGGUUCAUGUGACAAGUGUCAAGUUUACACAACAAUAGAGGAAUGUCAUGCACAACUGUCAUCUGGAGCCUUCUUUGUGAAUAGAAUUUGCAUUUUGUCAUGGUAUCAACGUCCCAGUCUCCACUGUGCCUGAGAAUCAGGAACCUCAAAUUGUCCCUUGCAUGGCAGCAGCUAAUCAAGUUUUGAAGGUAUGUUUUGCAAGGUAAAGUCUAACCAAAGUGCAGUUUCUAAGACCAACUUCAAAUUCACUAGUGCUAAGAAUUGUGAAGAGACACAGGUCAUUGGCAAGCCUAUAAUAAGGUAAUAGCAAUUAUCUCUGUGUGACAGUCCUCCUAGUGCCUUAGAUUACCAGCACCACCUUUUAUGUGGUAAGAAAUAACAGCAUCUGUAGGAACAGGGCUUGUGGAGCUGACUGAGAAGAGAAUGGCUUUGGACUUUGAUGAUAGAGAAAUCUGAGAUGAAUCCUCACCAUACUGAUGGUAUAUUUCAUGUCUAACUCUGGACAUUGUAGGAUGUGGAUUUCCCCUUUGCCUCUAUGCACUUCUUCUCAAAUACCCAGGUUUAGAAUUCAGAUUCAUAAAAAUACAAAAGUAGUGGACUCCAAUUUCAUUCUCUGUUCUUUGGUUAAAGCAGUGAAUUUAGGUUAUAAAUAUCUUCCGUCAAUCUUGUCUGGAUCUCCUCAGAUGUUUUGAAUGCGCUGCACAGUAGAAAAGAAGAAUCAUAUUCCUUCCAGUUAAUUCCCUUGGUAACUAUGUAGCCAAAAUUACAUUUACUAGAUUCAAUAAGAAAAAUUAUCUAUCUUACCCAUUUUCAUCACUUUAAGUUGCAAUAGAGAGCUUAUUAAGAGUGUUAAUAUCUGCAAUUUUCCAGAGGCUAAACCAGAAGCAAUUAGGGACCUUGUAUGAUACCUACUAAGUGCAAACCAGCGUAUUAUUGUUCCAUUAUUUCCUAGAGCUCCUAUUUGAAACCUGGUAGAAUAUCCAAUGAGCUGAAUAAGUUGAUCAUAAGAAUAUAAAUCUCACGGAUUUCUGUCUCGUACAAACACUCCUGUUGAGAAACAAAGAUUAGACACAUGUCAUGAAAUAAAAUGCUGCCACGGGUAGGAGUAGCUCUUUCAGUGGAGCCCAUCACACAGCAAGUACUGGUGGAGAUCACUAUUUAUUUUUUUAAGGUAAAGGCAGCAUUAGAGGGUAUUUAAAUGGACAUUAAGGAAUUAGUGACUGUGAUUUAAUAAUAAUUUGUAGUUUAACAGAUGAGUGGAUCCCUAAAACAUAGGGUGAAAUAACUGGAAUAACCGAAAUGCUUGCUUGAAAAUUUUCAAAGCACUUGCUUUAUAAAAGUCAAAUGAAAGACCAGUAUCCCAAAUUGUACUUAGAAUAAGCAUACAAAAAUGUGUCAGUGUUAGGGGGUACUGCCUCAUUAACAUGAGGAUGCUCCAUUAACAUUAUCAGCCAGACAAUGGCCACCAUACAGAAGGUUAUGGCAGAAGUGGUAUAUCAUACCAUGCUGCUGUCUUUUAUGUUGUUGCAAUGAAGGAUUCUUCUUUCACUAACUUCAACCCACACUUCGUAUUUAAAGGCAAGGAAAUGAAGCUUCCAACAAAGCACUUUUUGAACAUGACCACUCUUUCACCAGAAGAACAGAGGACGUUUUCUCCCUUUCAGAAAAGUGCUAGGGACUCCCUUUCCCAGUGAGCAGUGAGGUGAGAGGUUAUAUUUGCAAAUCCUUUCUGAGCCCUGUGACACGCUUAUGGUGUAGAGGCCUUACAGAUCAUCUGUGAGGCAUACCUUACAAAUCAAAUCCCAUCGUAAACUUUGACACUGUACUGCUUAUGUAAUCAGAAGCAGGUAGCCACGAGUGAUUAUCUGAGCUCUGUGCCUCCCACUGGCAAGCUACCUUCAGAAAAAGAUGUUCUACUAGAGAUCUGCUUGAAAGAUAGGGAACUAUAAAGAAGACAUACAGUUACUUGUUUUUCCAUAGAUGGUUGCAAUAAAAUUUAGUUACUGGCAAAUGUGCCAUAUGUAUAUGCACUAAGAAACAAUAGGUUUUCUGCAUUCUGUAGCUUUGCAUUUCCUGGGUCUGAAGCCAUGACAGCCAUAAUUUCAUUGUUUGGCUGAGUUAAUGUGGCAUACGCAGGUAUCAAUGCUGCUUUCUCAUGAAGACUGGACUCUUAACUUUGAUGUUUUGUUGCUUUUCUUUCAUCAGGUAUAGGUUUCUUGGGCAUAGGCAAAACUUUUUAGAGCAUGAAAAGAUAUACUGGCAAGAAUGAACAUUCUUACUGGAGAGUGAGUGCUUACAUGUUGUCAGUGGUACAGGUUUAGAGGGAACAUAGCAACAUAGCACAGAGAAGGAACUUGGAAUGAGUAUAAGGUAAUCCCUUGAAAGACUGAGGCUAUUUUAGAGGUCAUGCCAAUAUAUUCACCUUCUGUGAGGCACAAGGCUGUUCAUUAACCACUUCAUUAUUACAGAAAUGGCAGUGGUGAUAAAUUCUAUUAAUGCCCAUCUACUUCCUAGAUUUAUGUGAUUUAAACUUUCAUUCCCCCACCAGACUCACAGGUGCCUCAAAGGUACUGUAUAUAUUCAGCAGCCCUACGGAGUUUACAUGUUUAAUGCAUGAAAUUGCCCAUGUCCAAUCUCUCCUCUUUUAUUAUCAAGGCAUAAAGUAAUGAUAAGUAGGAGUACCCAACUAGGAAAGGUGAGAUCUCAGGUCCAAACCUGCCUAAGAUAAAUAUUUAAUAAGAAAGGGUCAUAUUUAUUAAUAAUAUCUUAAUAGUAUAGUCUUUAAAGGAUAGAGGGGCUUUAAAACAGGUCUCAUGUAGGUCUUCAAGCAGCCAGGCUUCAGGGUCUGCAUUCUCCUUCUCUACAGAACAGUUAACUAUUUCCACAGCACUGAUUUCUCAUUACCAUGGAAAGUUUUGGACUAGCCCACUUGGAAUGCCUGGACUCUUGGAAUGUAGCUAUUCUGACAAAAUAAACACGGUCAGCACGGUUUAAUGGUCAGCACACUCCUGGUUUUGGCCAGGGUCAGCCAGCACAAACCUCAGUAAUACCUUGGCACAGUUUAAGUGUUUACACCCUUCAAUGUCAUCUUCCAUGGGCAGUUUGAAAGUGGUUUCUCAUCUUUGGAAAUGUUAGAGAGUGUGGCUAUGACAUCAGGAGUUGUGCCAUGCCAUGUUAGGCAUGUUUGCAUGGGUUACAUCACCCCUGCAUUUUCUUAUAGAUAAGGGCAAGGCUCCAAUCCUGCUGCUUUCAGACAUCCCGCUCAAUCCCUCAUGUCUUGACUUCAUGUCAUGAUGUAUCCUUUUCCUUCAGCUGUCUGUUGUGAAUAGGAUCUGCAUAGUGUGCAGAUUCUUGCUGAGUUACAAGGACGUGAGUUCCUAUAGUUGGAUGCCAAGCCCUGGGAGAUACAUCCCUCUCUGCAACAUUUCCUGUUUCGGUCAGUUUGGUCUGCUGCUAGAUAAGACUGAUCAUACGAGAUACACCUGUGCUUUGUCUGUGAAAUUUGGACACCCAGGCUGAGGGCUCCCAGAGAUAUGGAAAUAGGCAGUGUUGGGAAGUUCCAUGAUGAGCACGGUCAUGCGUAUGUACUCUAGAAUCCCAGGCAUAAGGGAUUACCGUGAACACACUGUAUCAACAUAGAAGCAUGAAACAUGGAACUUCCUCUUGGUUUCCUUGGUAAGAAGCACAUUGAUAUUUGUCAUGGAAGAGUCUAGUCUGUGCUUGGUGUGCAAUGCAAAUGUUUCUUUCUACUUCAUUUCCUGCAUAAUUAGUAUAGGCUGCUAUAAAUCAUUCUGCAUAGUCACGACAUUGCAGGACUUUAUCAUUUUUGUAGGCCAGAGAGAGUCGCUGCAGUUCAGACAGAACAGUUCUGGCCUACUAGCUCAGCAGAGAAGAUAACAGAGCACAGGUAGAAGAAAAAACCUUACCUUUUUAAAAACUGAGCCAAGGAAAUUGUCUCACACAUGCACAUUGAAAUCUUUACUGAUGCUUAAAGCUUAGUUCACUGGUACAAUGCUGACGUGGCUGGGUGGAGUCUUUGACAUCUCAUUAUCUCGACAUAAUGUCACAUUACUCUGAUGCACAUUCUGUUGUUAAAAUGUUAAAAUAACUCUUCAUUAUGUGAGAUACUACUGGUAUAUUUAAACAUCAUAGAGUCACAAAACCUGCUCAUAAAACAAACAUAAUCUAAACAUAUGUCAAGUACUCUCAAAAUUUGUACAAAAUGAUCUGAUGGUAGCUGGUGUCAUUACAUUUAUGAGUUUUGGACACAAUGCCAUAUAGCAGACUGUCUGUGUGUCAUCAAGAGGAGAGGCUGACUUUAAGUAACACUACAGGAGAAGAGAAACAAAAGAGAACCAAAUGAGUCAUUUUUAGAAAACAAAACUGGACAUCUUCUGGUAUACUCAAAGUUUUGCAAACUCUGUCUUAAAAAUCUUUUAAGGAAAUAGUCUCCUUUUUACAAUGGGAAGUUAGAAUUUAUAGUUGAUAAUUAUGAUUUAUGAUCCAUAAUGUCAAAUAGUAAAGAAAUGAGUAUGUUUCUGAACUCUUAAUCUUUUCAGCCAUUAGAUUUGGGAGUUUUUGUAAUGCAUAAUAUUGAUUGAUGUUGUUUGUCUAUGUGAUGAUUAAAUCCUGAAAUCAAUUUGGAGUUACCUUGUUGCAAAUUGGUUUUGUAAAUAGAUCAAAGAAGGAUUUCAGAAUGACUUUCUCCUAUUUUCUGUUGUGCUUGUCUAAUAAUCAGAAUAAAGAGGAUUUUAGUAGAUGAGGCUGCUUUAAAGUGGAUCAUUGGUAAGAUACUACACUACGCACACAUCUAAUAGAUAGCAAGUGAAUUGAUACUACAUUUUAUUUGGGCUAUGGGGAAAAGAUCCCUUUUCAUCAUAGAUUCUACAUGUAACAGAAAGACAGAACUGAUUUCACUAUCGGAAAUCACACUGCCUCUAACCUGUAGGAGUUUUUUCUAUUUCUGAAGAGUUGGAAUAAAAAAAACCAGUGAUAAUUGUAAUUUAAAAUGAAAUAGGCAGCAGUAAUGACAUUGCACAAUCAGAGAGUAGUGGUUUUCCAGGCAAAAAAUGCAUUUAGAAUUACACAGUGGUUGUAAUUAUAUGGAUCCUUUUCCUAAUGCAGUACUCCCACUAUUCUAACUUCCUUAUACACUGACGUUUUUAAUGAAUGUUGCUAUUGCACACACAAACCAUCACUUUGAUGCUGAGCCUCAUGGAAUUGGCUUGAAAACUCACCUCUGUGUGGCUUCAAUGAUCUUAAGAGGAAGGGAGGGUCCAUGCCCCGGUAUGCUUAGAGGAGGCCAUCUGUCAAUCCAAACUUAGAGGCCUGGGUUGUUGCAAGCUGGGAGUGCAGUGGAUGGUGAUAAACCUGUGUUUGCAUUUCAGAUGACAAUUUUACAUAAAAGGAACACCUAUAAAUAGUUUAUGGGGAGUUAAUUAAUGCUACCAGCAUGUUACAGGCAUAAAUACGUAGAUACAAGCACCCCAACAGAAGGCAGUGGGCGGGGAUGAGCUAUUGUUUCAGACAGCCUGUUCACCUGGUGGACUUACUCCAGCUGGCUACAGCAAUUUAUUAAAAUGUCUAUUAAUAACAGAGAUAGAUGUAAGCUAAACUUAUAUACUCCAGGUGACUAUGGCAUUCCCUACAGAGAUUGGGGUGUAUGUUUGGAUCAUCUCAGCAUGAGCUGUGUGUAAAAGUCACAUUCGCUGACAGAGGUGCCAGGGCUGCUGCUGUAAAAGUGGAUGGUGAGCGCAGGUGCAUUAUUGGAAGAAUAGGAUGUAAAGCUCAGCUAUAUGCACACAAGGGUCUUUCAUGGCCCUUCUCUGCAGUGAAGCUGAAGAGAAGCACUGACUUCUAGUGAUCAUAAAACACUGACACAGUGUUUUUGCAAUGAAAAAUAUCAUGGGCAAUUCAUGGAGCUGACUGAGGAGCGAACUCAGUCAAUCCCUUCACCAUUAAUAUAAAGACCUGUUCUUCCCCUCUGUGACCCAGGCACUGCACAGCAGACGCUUCUCAUUUGGUUUAGUAGGAGAGAAGGAGUAUGCACUUACCCCCAGAUAAUCUCCAGCUUGUUCCUCCUCUGCAGAUAGGAGAUAGGGAUGUGCACUGCCUGAGGGUGAAUACAAAACUUAAACCAGUUUUCCUGGUGUAUGCAAGGACACCACCUCACAGGCUAUUUGCAAAAUGCAACCACGAAUCUUCUAUUAAAAAAAAAAAAAAAAAGAAAAAGAAAAAAGAAAGAAAGAAAAAGAAAAACAAAUAAAUACUUAGCUUUCUAUUGCUUUGGCAAACAUUUUAAUUCAGAGCUUACUAUCUUCAUCUGAGCACCCUAGCUGGGGAAGACCGGUAUUCCUACAUUUUACAGAGAAGCACCCUACAACUCUCCUCUGCCCACCUCCAUGCUGAGGUGCCUAUACGGACACAGUGUGGCUGAGGUUGGAAGGCACUGAUGAAGGUCAUGUGGUUCAACCCCCUGACUACCACAUCAGCUCGGCAGUACUGCUGCUUGACAUAAAAUCACUUCUGUAGAUUAAAUCCAGUUCCCUUGGCCUAAACUUGUACUCCUUUCCUACAUGUUUGAGACAAAAGAGGCUUGCAAACAAGGUGUCCUUGCAAACAAGUUGAGCAGAGGCUUCCAAAUUCUUCUUCGAUUGACAGUUAUACUAACUCUGUAAACUCUUACCAAAUGUGGCUUAUCAGAAAGAAGAACUAGUUGAAACUCACCAAAUAAGGCAUAUCAGGAAGAAGAACGAGCUGAAAACAGAAGAUGUUGCAGUGGUCGGUGGACAACUAGAACUUAGGAACUUCAGAUUUACUGCGCAGGCUUAAUAGGCUAAUUAAUGUUAACUUGUCCAUCCUGGGCAAUAUAAAGUUAGCAUUAAUUGCACAUGCAAUGUAUGAUACACAACGUGGUGACAUAUAUGGGGGAACAUUUAUGUGAUGGACUGAUAAGUCUGUAACCUCCAAGAACUUCAGCCAGUGAGGAAAGGAGGAGUGACACUGCAGCUGGGAAGUAGGGAUAAAAAAGCAGCUGCAAUCUCUGAUGGGUUGAGACACCCUACUGGGAAAUUAACCCAGUAAACUCUCCCUUUAUUCAAAUGAAGAAUGAUAAAGACUCUCCUCCAUCUCUUUUGGGAUAAAGAUAGUUCAGCAAGCAUAUUUGAGCAAAAAAAAAAAAAAUUCCCAACAUAUUACAAUGCAGGUUUGUGAGUUACAGGGCAAGUAGAGAUGGACAUGUGUGUACUUGGGGGAGAGAGGGCAGUGGAAUGCAGACAGAGAAAAGCAGGCUGUGUCAGCCUGGAUCAGCGUUAUGUCUCCCUGAAAAAAAGCAGUCCCUGAUUCUCCAACUUUCCAGCAAAGCUUAGCUGACUGGAGAUCUCCCAGGAAGGAGAAGAGGGAGCAGGAAGAAGAGCAAUUUUGUGCAUGGAUGGUAAAAGUUGCCAGAUGAAGAAAUAUGCAUUCUGGAACUGCAGUAAGACCUGGUAUUUGCUCACCAACACCUUAUGGCUGAACACAUGAAUAAUGAGUGCAACAAUGCUGGCAGUAACUCAAAUGGAAACUGGGACUUACGGUAGAAGGAAAAAGAAUUACAAAAAAUAAAAAUAAAAUCAAAGGAUAAAAGAGUUAAAAAAGAUAAAAAGUUUUAAAAGAUAAAAGAGUUCCUGACCUCUAAGAACACUGCAAAAGGAAGCAUGGAUGCAGAACAUUGCUCUGAGCUGUAAAGUGCUCCCCUGCAACCUCCUGCGCCACACCAAACAAGUCAUGAUCAUCAGUAUGUUGGAGACCUGUACUUGUUCAUUUAUUUUCAUCAGCUGCAAAUAUUAGGAAGAGACAGUUGCCAGAGAGGAGUUGCUCGACAGAAAAGUCAGAAAAUUCAGAAAAUGAACAUCUCAGAGCCCAAACCAUGCAAACAAAUCAGUGGCCUCGUCUUCUAUUCAAGCUAUCUCCAUUUCAUCUGUAACAUAGAGUUUGCUAGCUCUUAUUGUCACUUUCAGGCUCUCCUGUCCCAACUUAAUGUAAUAAUAAAAACAGGUACUUUUUAGUCUAUUUAAAUGGCAUUUAAAAUAUUUAUAUUGCUCUUUCAAAGAAAAAUAAACUAAAUUUUGGUCAAAACUAUUAUAAUGAUGAUAUAUUAAUCUUGGAAACUGCCAUCUGUUGUAAUUUACUUUGUGCUUUGACACUACUUUCACUGUGAAACUGUCUUCAUUGCCAAAAGCAAAAUAUCAUUAAAUACUCAUACUUUUCUUGUGUUCUUUUUUUAAACUAAAUUUUGCAUUCAAUUUAGAUUCAUGCUACACUGACAUUUCAAAGCGGAAGAUGUUCAGAGACCAGUUUUAGUACUACAGCUAUAAUUUACUCUGGAUGGUAUUACAGCCUCUAUACGUCAGCAGCUUGGUUUUCAGAAAGCACU